This 483-nucleotide ribosomal RNA is filed under the name uncultured Paraglomus. RNAcentral describes it as "SSU rRNA". It matches the Rfam family "Eukaryotic small subunit ribosomal RNA", at positions 569 to 1057 of the family's 1831-position model. Lineage: Eukaryota; Fungi; Glomeromycota; Glomeromycetes; Paraglomerales; Paraglomeraceae. The record is from RNAcentral.
AGCAGCCGCGGUGAUUCCAGCUCCAAUAGCGUAUAUUAAAGUUGUUGUGGUUAAAAAGCUCGUAGUUGAACCUUGGGCCUGGCUGGCCGGUCCGCCUCACCGCGUGUACUGGUCCGGCCGGGCCUUUCCCUCUGUGGAACCCCAUGCCCUUCACUGGGUGUGGCGGGGAAACAGGACUUUUACUUUGAAAAAAUUAGAGUGCUCCAGGCAGGCCUAUGCUCGAAUACAUUAGCAUGGAAUAAUAAAAUAGGACGUGUGGUUCUAUUUUGUUGGUUUCUAGGACCGCCGUAAUGAUCAAUAGGGACAGUCGGGGGCAUCAGUAUUCAAUUGUCAGAGGUGAAAUUCUUGGAUUUAUUGAAGACUAACUACUGCGAAAGCAUUUGCCAAGGAUGUUUUCAUUAAUCAGGAACGAAAGUUAGGGGAUCGAAGACGAUCAGAUACCGUCGUAGUCUUAACCAUAAACUAUGCCGACUAGGGAUCGGA